This 619-nucleotide ribosomal RNA is filed under the name Pygoscelis adeliae (Adelie penguin). Its description in RNAcentral is "partial 12S ribosomal RNA". It matches the Rfam family "Bacterial small subunit ribosomal RNA", at positions 690 to 1533 of the family's 1533-position model. Lineage: Eukaryota; Metazoa; Chordata; Aves; Sphenisciformes; Spheniscidae. The record is from RNAcentral.
CAAGAUGUAUUUAAAAACACCUCCAAGAUGAUCUUAGCAGCCCCGACUAAUUAAACUCCACGAAAGCUAGGACACAAACUGGGAUUAGAUACCCCACUAUGCCUAGCCCUAAAUCUUGAUACCUUCCAUCACCAAAGUAUCCGCCUGAGAACUACGAGCACAAACGCUUAAAACUCUAAGGACUUGGCGGUGCCCCAGACCCACCUAGAGGAGCCUGUUCUAUAAUCGAUAACCCACGAUGCACCCGACCACUCCUUGCCAAAGCAGCCUAUAUACCGCCGUCGCCAGCUCACCUCGCCUGAAAGAACAACAGUGAGCAUAAUAGCCCCAACCCCGCUAACAAGACAGGUCAAGGUAUAGCCUAUGGGGUGGAAGAAAUGGGCUACAUUUUCUAAAAUAGAUAACCUCACGGAAAGGGACAUGAAAUUGCCCCUGGAAGGCGGAUUUAGCAGUAAGGUGGGACAAUAAAGCCCACUUUAAGCCGGCUCUGAGGUACGUACAUACCGCCCGUCACCCUCCUCACAAGCUACGUAUAACAUAUAACUAAUACCCUUCCCCGGCUGAAGAUGAGGUAAGUCGUAACAAGGUAAGUGUACCGGAAGGUGCACUUAGCAUAUCA